CUCCGACUAGCUCAAUUGGAUAGAGCAAUUGCCUUCUAAGCAAUAGGUUUCAGGUUCGAGCCCUGAGUCGGAGGCCA
Molecule: transfer RNA, 77 nt
Filed under: Porticoccaceae bacterium
Lineage: Bacteria; Pseudomonadati; Pseudomonadota; Gammaproteobacteria; Cellvibrionales; Porticoccaceae
Description: tRNA-Arg
Rfam family: tRNA
About the family: Transfer RNA (tRNA) molecules are approximately 80 nucleotides in length. Their secondary structure includes four short double-helical elements and three loops (D, anti-codon, and T loops).
Source: RNAcentral